AGACCCCGAGGAACGCCCCAGGGAGAUCCCCGUCGUCCGGACCCGAACCGAGCCGCGACGGCCCCGAGGCCACGGCUAAAAAAAGUUACUUACCGUAACAACUUGUAUUGCUAAAACUCUUCGGCAAGAAUUUUUAUUUUUCAGUGAAUAGUUCUUUUCUCAUUUAAAGGUUAAUUUUAUAUAAUUUUGAGGUAUUUUAAUCACCAAGAUCUUAUGCUUGUUUGACAGGAAUCUAAAUACUCAUUCAUUUAUAUGCUUUAGAGAAAAAAAAGCCAAUUUUCUUGAUAGGAAAAAGUCAAAACUUUUUCUUUUUUUUUUAAUUAGGGAAGAGUGGAAAUAUAUGGCCACAGGUUUUGCUAAGGACAAUUUUUUCCCUAAUUAGCUUCUGAAACAAGGCAAGUUUAAUUGAAAGAAAAUAACGUUUAUCAAUAAAUCUGCAUGAAAAAAAAGAGAUCACAAAAUAAACUGCCUGCUUUUACUUCUUUUGUGAAAUGGAGACCACUUACUACGGUUUGUUGAUGACUUCUCCACUAACUAGAAUGUUUUGUUUCGCAGCCUUCCGCCCUAUUCUGCUGCUGAUUUCUUGUUGAUGAGUGCUGUUUGGAUCCAGCCAUCCUAUUUCUCUGCUGAUAUCACUCUGAUCCAUCUUGAAGUAUCUGCUCCAUCGGCACACCCUUCCCUGUCCACGCUGUCGCCUUCGCUGACGUCUUCUUGGCAGCGAUCGGCAGGAGGGAUACUUCUUUGCGGACGGCUCGCGCGUGGAUCGAAAGGCCGGCACCGGUUCUUAGACUCUGGACAAAAAGCAAGAACUAGUCAACAAAACCGUCGCCGGGCGCGAGAUGGUGGUGAGGUGAAAGAGCAUCAAUGACUACCGACAGAAGAACUCCGGGUGGACGAUGUACGAAUACGAGAUGUGUUCUUCCGGCUUAUUUGACAUUUGUUUUGACGGUGGUGCCGUCGGAGGUGGCCUGAUGCAAGAUCUUCAGAGAACUCGUCUCUCGAAACCGGGAAGAACACAUCUCAUCUCGUCUAUCGUCCACCCUCUUUCGCCGGCCGUCGUUAAAGGAAAGUCAGCUCUUUCGUCCCACCCACGAUCUCGCACCCAUUCGUAAAAGGAAAGCCGACCGAUUUCUUGCUUUUUUACAGAGUGGAAGAACCCAUUCGUAACCUUAGGGUUUGAAAAACCUAUGAGGCUCGGUUCUUCCGGGGCCGAGAUGGGCUGCCGGGAUGGACUCGACCCAAGUUCUUGCUUUUUGAACGUGGACUCAACCGUUUUGAUAGAACCGGUUCCGGCCUUUCGCUAUUCUCGGGCUUACGCUCCACAAAGAAUCCCUCUUGCCGAUCGCUGCCAAGAAGAUUCCACGGCUCGGUGCCGUAGAUGUUGGUGAAGGCGAAAGCGCGGCCAGGGAAGGAGGGGAUUGUCGGCGACCUAGUUGGUGAGGUAGUCGACCACGAGUUCCUUCCCACGAC
Molecule: long non-coding RNA, 1470 nt
Filed under: Musa acuminata (dwarf banana)
Lineage: Eukaryota; Viridiplantae; Streptophyta; Magnoliopsida; Zingiberales; Musaceae
Description: long non-coding RNA (MACU_LNC010559)
Source: RNAcentral